AGUCAUAUGCUUGUCUCAAAGAUUAAGCCAUGCAUGUCUCAGUACAAGCCGCAAUAAGGUGAAACCGCGAAAGGCUCAUUAAAUCAGUUAUGGUUCCUUAGAUCGUACCCACACUUACUUGGAUAACUGUGGUAAUUCUAGAGCUAAUACAUGCAAACAGAGCUCCGACCGGAGACGGGAGGAGUGCUUUUAUUAGAUCAAAACCAAUCGGCGGCGGUGGCGUUCGCGUCGCCGUUCGCCGCUCAACCUGGUGACUCUGAAUAACUUUCCGCUGAUCGCACGGUCUCGCACCGGCGACGCAUCUUUCAAAUGUCUGCCUUAUCAACUGUCGAUGGUAGGUUCUGCGCCUACCAUGGUCGUAACGGGUAACGGGGAAUCAGGGUUCGAUUCCGGAGAGGGAGCCUGAGAAACGGCUACCACAUCCAAGGAAGGCAGCAGGCGCGCAAAUUACCCACUCCCGGCACGGGGAGGUAGUGACGAAAAAUAACGAUACGGGACUCAUCCGAGGCCCCGUAAUCGGAAUGAGUACACUUUAAAUCCUUUAACGAGGACCAAUUGGAGGGCAAGUCUGGUGCCAGCAGCCGCGGUAACUCCAGCUCCAAUAGCGUA
Molecule: ribosomal RNA, 609 nt
Filed under: Lioporeus triangularis
Lineage: Eukaryota; Metazoa; Arthropoda; Insecta; Coleoptera; Dytiscidae
Description: SSU rRNA
Rfam family: Eukaryotic small subunit ribosomal RNA
Source: RNAcentral